GAGUUUGAUCCUGGUUCAGGAUGAACGCUGGCGGCAUGCCUAACACAUGCAAGUCGAACGAAGUUACCGGAGCAGCGGACUUAGGUUCAACGCACCGACUAACUUAGUGGCGGAUGGGUGAGUAACACGUGAGCAACCAACCUUUUACUCGGGAAUAACAUGGGGAAACCCAUGCUAAUACCUGAUAUUAUCAAGAAAUGGCAUCAUAAUUUGAUGAAAGAUUUAUCGGUAAAAGACGGGCUCGCGUCCGAUUAGCUAGUUGGUAAGGUAAUGGCUUACCAAGGCCACGAUCGGUAGCCGGACUGAGAGGUCGACCGGCCACAUUGGGACUGAGAACGGCCCAGACUCCUACGGGAGGCAGCAGUGGGGAAUAUUGGGCAAUGGACGCAAGUCUGACCCAGCGAUGCCGCGUGAAGGAUGGAAGGCCCUCGGGUUGUAAACUUCUUUAGACAGGGAAGAAAGAAAUGACAUUACCUGUAGAAUAAGCCACGGCUAACUACGUGCCAGCAGCCGCGGUAAUACGUAGGUGGCGAGCG
RNAcentral lists this ribosomal RNA (536 nucleotides) under uncultured Eubacteriales bacterium. RNAcentral describes it as "bacterial SSU rRNA". It matches the Rfam family "Bacterial small subunit ribosomal RNA", at positions 9 to 540 of the family's 1533-position model. Lineage: Bacteria; Bacillati; Bacillota; Clostridia; Eubacteriales. The record is from RNAcentral.